RNAcentral lists this ribosomal RNA (2925 nucleotides) under Salmonella enterica subsp. enterica serovar Hadar. Its description in RNAcentral is "23S ribosomal RNA". It matches the Rfam family "Bacterial large subunit ribosomal RNA". The record is from RNAcentral. Lineage: Bacteria; Pseudomonadati; Pseudomonadota; Gammaproteobacteria; Enterobacterales; Enterobacteriaceae.
GGGUUGUGAGGUUAAGCGACUAAGCGUACACGGUGGAUGCCCUGGCAGUCAGAGGCGAUGAAGGACGUGCUAAUCUGCGAUAAGCGCCGGUAAGGUGAUAUGAACCGUUAUAACCGGCGAUUUCCGAAUGGGGAAACCCAGUGUGAUUCGUCACACUAUCAUUAACUGAAUCCAUAGGUUAAUGAGGCGAACCGGGGGAACUGAAACAUCUAAGUACCCCGAGGAAAAGAAAUCAACCGAGAUUCCCCCAGUAGGGGCGAGCGAACGGGGAGGAGCCCAGAGCCUGAAUCAGCAUGUGUGUUAGUGGAAGCGUCUGGAAAGGCGCGCGAUACAGGGUGACAGCCCCGUACACAAAAGCGCAUGUGCUGUGAGCUCGAUGAGUAGGGCGGGACACGUGGUAUCCUGUCUGAAUAUGGGGGGACCAUCCUCCAAGGCUAAAUACUCCUGACUGACCGAUAGUGAACCAGUACCGUGAGGGAAAGGCGAAAAGAACCCCGGCGAGGGGAGUGAAAAAGAACCUGAAACCGUGUACGUACAAGCAGUGGGAGCACCCUUUGGGGUGUGACUGCGUACCUUUUGUAUAAUGGGUCAGCGACUUAUAUUCUGUAGCAAGGUUAACCGUAUAGGGGAGCCGGAGGGAAACCGAGUCUUAAUUGGGCGUUAAGUUGCAGGGUAUAGACCCGAAACCCGGUGAUCUAGCCAUGGGCAGGUUGAAGGUUGGGUAACACUAACUGGAGGACCGAACCGACUAAUGUUGAAAAAUUAGCGGAUGACCUGUGGCUGGGGGUGAAAGGCCAAUCAAACCGGGAGAUAGCUGGUUCUCCCCGAAAGCUAUUUAGGUAGCGCCUCGUGAAUUCAUCUCCGGGGGUAGAGCACUGUUUCGGCUAGGGGGCCAUCCCGGCUUACCAACCCGAUGCAAACUGCGAAUACCGGAGAAUGUUAUCACGGGAGACACACGGCGGGUGCUAACGUCCGUCGUGAAGAGGGAAACAACCCAGACCGCCAGCUAAGGUCCCAAAGUCAUGGUUAAGUGGGAAACGAUGUGGGAAGGCCCAGACAGCCAGGAUGUUGGCUUAGAAGCAGCCAUCAUUUAAAGAAAGCGUAAUAGCUCACUGGUCGAGUCGGCCUGCGCGGAAGAUGUAACGGGGCUAAACCAUGCACCGAAGCUGCGGCAGCGACGCUUAUGCGUUGUUGGGUAGGGGAGCGUUCUGUAAGCCUGUGAAGGUGGCCUGUGAGGGUUGCUGGAGGUAUCAGAAGUGCGAAUGCUGACAUAAGUAACGAUAAAGCGGGUGAAAAGCCCGCUCGCCGGAAGACCAAGGGUUCCUGUCCAACGUUAAUCGGGGCAGGGUGAGUCGACCCCUAAGGCGAGGCCGAAAGGCGUAGUCGAUGGGAAACGGGUUAAUAUUCCCGUACUUGGUGUUACUGCGAAGGGGGGACGGAGAAGGCUAUGUUGGCCGGGCGACGGUUGUCCCGGUUUAAGCGUGUAGGCUGGUUUUCCAGGCAAAUCCGGAAAAUCAAGGCUGAGGCGUGAUGACGAGGCACUACGGUGCUGAAGCAACAAAUGCCCUGCUUCCAGGAAAAGCCUCUAAGCAUCAGGUAACAUCAAAUCGUACCCCAAACCGACACAGGUGGUCAGGUAGAGAAUACCAAGGCGCUUGAGAGAACUCGGGUGAAGGAACUAGGCAAAAUGGUGCCGUAACUUCGGGAGAAGGCACGCUGACACGUAGGUGAAGUGAUUUACUCAUGGAGCUGAAGUCAGUCGAAGAUACCAGCUGGCUGCAACUGUUUAUUAAAAACACAGCACUGUGCAAACACGAAAGUGGACGUAUACGGUGUGACGCCUGCCCGGUGCCGGAAGGUUAAUUGAUGGGGUCAGCGCAAGCGAAGCUCCUGAUCGAAGCCCCGGUAAACGGCGGCCGUAACUAUAACGGUCCUAAGGUAGCGAAAUUCCUUGUCGGGUAAGUUCCGACCUGCACGAAUGGCGUAAUGAUGGCCAGGCUGUCUCCACCCGAGACUCAGUGAAAUUGAACUCGCUGUGAAGAUGCAGUGUACCCGCGGCAAGACGGAAAGACCCCGUGAACCUUUACUAUAGCUUGACACUGAACAUUGAGCCUUGAUGUGUAGGAUAGGUGGGAGGCUUUGAAGUGUGGACGCCAGUCUGCAUGGAGCCGACCUUGAAAUACCACCCUUUAAUGUUUGAUGUUCUAACGUGGACCCGUUACCCGGGUUGCGGACAGUGUCUGGUGGGUAGUUUGACUGGGGCGGUCUCCUCCUAAAGAGUAACGGAGGAGCACGAAGGUUGGCUAAUCCUGGUCGGACAUCAGGAGGUUAGUGCAAUGGCAUAAGCCAGCUUGACUGCGAGCGUGACGGCGCGAGCAGGUGCGAAAGCAGGUCAUAGUGAUCCGGUGGUUCUGAAUGGAAGGGCCAUCGCUCAACGGAUAAAAGGUACUCCGGGGAUAACAGGCUGAUACCGCCCAAGAGUUCAUAUCGACGGCGGUGUUUGGCACCUCGAUGUCGGCUCAUCACAUCCUGGGGCUGAAGUAGGUCCCAAGGGUAUGGCUGUUCGCCAUUUAAAGUGGUACGCGAGCUGGGUUUAGAACGUCGUGAGACAGUUCGGUCCCUAUCUGCCGUGGGCGCUGGAGAACUGAGGGGGGCUGCUCCUAGUACGAGAGGACCGGAGUGGACGCAUCACUGGUGUUCGGGUUGUCAUGCCAAUGGCACUGCCCGGUAGCUAAAUGCGGAAGAGAUAAGUGCUGAAAGCAUCUAAGCACGAAACUUGCCCCGAGAUGAGUUCUCCCUGAGACUUUAAGUCUCCUGAAGGAACGUUGAAGACGACGACGUUGAUAGGCCGGGUGUGUAAGCGCAGCGAUGCGUUGAGCUAACCGGUACUAAUGAACCGUGAGGCUUAACCUUACAACGCCGAAG